RNAcentral lists this ribosomal RNA (450 nucleotides) under uncultured Acetobacteraceae bacterium. RNAcentral's name for it is "bacterial SSU rRNA". It matches the Rfam family "Bacterial small subunit ribosomal RNA", at positions 416 to 883 of the family's 1533-position model. Lineage: Bacteria; Pseudomonadati; Pseudomonadota; Alphaproteobacteria; Acetobacterales; Acetobacteraceae. The record is from RNAcentral.
CUUCGGAUUGUAAAGCCCUUUCGACGGGGACGAUGAUGACGGUACCCGUAAAAGAAGCCCCGGCUAACUUCGUGCCAGCAGCCGCGGUAAUACGAAGGGGGCUAGCGUUGCUCGGAUUGACUGGGCGUAAAGGGCGCGUAGGCGGAUAGUACAGUCAGGCGUGAAAUUCCUGGGCUCAACCUGGGGGCUGCGUUUGAUACGUAUUGUCUGGAGUUCGGAAGAGGGUCGUGGAAUUCCCAGUGUAGAGGUGAAAUUCGUAGAUAUUGGGAAGAACACCGGUGGCGAAGGCGGCGACCUGGUCCGAUACUGACGCUGAGGCGCGAAAGCGUGGGGAGCAAACAGGAUUAGAUACCCUGGUAGUCCACGCCGUAAACGAUGUGCGCUGGAUGUUGGGUGACCUAGUCACUCAGUGUCGUAGCUAACGCGAUAAGCGCACCGCCUGGGGAGUAC